UGGGGAAUAUUGGACAAUGGGCGAAAGCCUGAUCCAGCCAUGCCGCGUGUGUGAAGAAGGUCUUCGGAUUGUAAAGCACUUUAAGUUGGGAGGAAGGGCAUUAACCUAAUACGUUAGUGUUUUGACGUUACCGACAGAAUAAGCACCGGCUAACUCUGUGCCAGCAGCCGCGGUAAUACAGAGGGUGCAAGCGUUAAUCGGAAUUACUGGGCGUAAAGCGCGCGUAGGUGGUUUGUUAAGUUGGAUGUGAAAUCCCCGGGCUCAACCUGGGAACUGCAUUCAAAACUGACUGACUAGAGUAUGGUAGAGGGUGGUGGAAUUUCCUGUGUAGCGAUGAAAUGCGUAGAUAUAGGAAGGAACACCAGUGGCGAAGGCGACCACCUGGACUAAUACUGACACUGAGGUGCGAAAGCGUGGGGAGCAAACA
This 427-nucleotide ribosomal RNA is filed under the name uncultured bacterium. RNAcentral's name for it is "partial 16S ribosomal RNA". It matches the Rfam family "Bacterial small subunit ribosomal RNA", at positions 355 to 774 of the family's 1533-position model. The record is from RNAcentral.